AGCUCCAAUAGCGUAUAUUAAAGUUGUUGCAGUUAAAAAGCUCGUAGUUGGAUUUCUGGUUUGAACGUCCGGUCCGCUUGUGGUUCGCCCAUGAGUGCGUACUAUGGAUGUUUGGGCCAUUUUUUGUGAGGAAAUUUUUCUGCCAUUAAGUUGGUGGUUUAAUGGACUUGCAUCGUUUACUGUGAAAAAAUUAGAGUGUUUAAAGCAGGCGUUUGCUCAUUUUGAAUACAUUAGCAUGGAAUAAUAAGAUACGACUUUGGUGGUCUAUUUUGUUGGUUUGCACACCAGGGUAAUGAUUAAUAGGGACAGUUGGGGGUAUUCAUAUUUCAGCGUCAGAGGUGAAAUUCUUGGAUCGCUGAAAGAUGAGCUUAGGCGAAAGCAUUUACCAAGGAUGUUUUCAUUA
This 403-nucleotide ribosomal RNA is filed under the name Haliphthoros sp. RNAcentral's name for it is "partial small subunit ribosomal RNA". It matches the Rfam family "Eukaryotic small subunit ribosomal RNA", at positions 587 to 975 of the family's 1831-position model. Lineage: Eukaryota; Oomycota; Peronosporomycetes; Pythiales; Haliphthoraceae. The record is from RNAcentral.